Molecule: transfer RNA, 87 nt
Filed under: Puccinia sorghi
Lineage: Eukaryota; Fungi; Basidiomycota; Pucciniomycetes; Pucciniales; Pucciniaceae
Rfam family: tRNA
About the family: Transfer RNA (tRNA) molecules are approximately 80 nucleotides in length. Their secondary structure includes four short double-helical elements and three loops (D, anti-codon, and T loops).
Source: Rfam by way of RNAcentral
GUGUCUGUAGCCUAGUUGGUUAAAGGCAGCACUCUAGCAUGGUUCUAAAAUAUAAUGAGGUUGUGAGUUUGAAUCUCACCAGACACA